RNAcentral lists this ribosomal RNA (572 nucleotides) under uncultured bacterium. RNAcentral's name for it is "partial 16S ribosomal RNA". It matches the Rfam family "Bacterial small subunit ribosomal RNA", at positions 355 to 918 of the family's 1533-position model. The record is from RNAcentral.
UGGGGAAUUUUGGACAAUGGGCGAAAGCCUGAUCCAGCAAUGCCGCGUGUGUGAAGAAGGCCUUCGGGUUGUAAAGCACUUUUGUCCGGAAAGAAAUCCUUGGCUCUAAUACAGUCGGGGGAUGACGGUACCGGAAGAAUAAGCACCGGCUAACUACGUGCCAGCAGCCGCGGUAAUACGUAGGGUGCAAGCGUUAAUCGGAAUUACUGGGCGUAAAGCGUGCGCAGGCGGUUUGCUAAGACCGAUGUGAAAUCCCCGGGCUCAACCUGGGAACUGCAUUGGUGACUGGCAGGCUAGAGUAUGGCAGAGGGGGGUAGAAUUCCACGUGUAGCAGUGAAAUGCGUAGAGAUGUGGAGGAAUACCGAUGGCGAAGGCAGCCCCCUGGGCCAAUACUGACGCUCAUGCACGAAAGCGUGGGGAGCAAAACAGGAUUAGAUACCCUGGUAGUCCACGCCCUAAAACGAUGUCAACUAGUUGUUGGGGAUUCAUUUCCUUAGUAACGUAGCUAACGCGUGAAGUUGACCGCCUGGGGAGUACGGUCGCAAGAUUAAAACUUAAAGGAAUUGACGGGG